UUUUGCAGAAAAACGCACCGGAAGAGCGCUUCGCGACCGCAGCCGCUCUCCUCCUGGAACUGGCCGAGGAAGUUUUCUGGCGGGGGCGGCGCUUGGGAAAUCCCACGUGGGCCUGGAAACGGACCAAAUUUAGGAGUUGCAAGAAGUCCGCCUGGGGUUUGAAAGGGGAAGGAGGCGCGCACGCACCACAACGCCGCCCUGGCCUCGGAUGCGGGCGGUGGACAAAGUCACUCCGCUUCUCCUUUUUUUUUUUUUUUGCAAUGGGGCGCUCGCUGCAAAGCAAGUAGGGGAGCAUGGAAAGCUACGGCGGCAAGCUGGGCAGAGCGGGGAGUCUGUGGCAGGACCCCCUGGCCAUCGCCCUCACCCCCAGCAAGCCCGUGUCGGCGGGGAGCCAAGACAGCCGCGGGGGCAACGGCCGGAGCCGAGCCUUGAGCGUCGUCCUCGUCUUCACCGAGGAUCUCACCGAGCCGCUGCCUCUCCGGUGCUUGGAAGACGCCUGCAGGGAGAUCCCGGCGGCAGAGCUGACGGUCGUGCCCUUCGGUACCGUGGCCCUGGGCGACAUGGGCGCCUUGGACAGUUUUUAUAACGCAGAUGUGGUUGUGGUGGAGAUGAGCAACAGGCUGUGCCACCCCUCCCUGUUUUACCACCUGGGGGUCCGCGAGAGCUUCAGCAUGACCAAUAACAUCCUCCUGUGCUGUUACACUGACUUGCCAGAGCUGCAGGCCCUCCGGGAGGAGAUUUUCCACAAGAAUUCUGAUUGCAACUGCAGCUACACGUUCAUCCCUUACAUGGUGACAGCUCAGGACAAGGUUUUCUGUUGCGACUCCAGUGUCAUGAUGUGCCUAAGUGAGUUCUACCAGCCCAACUUCAAUAGGGAAACCUUCUUCACACCGUUGACUGAACAGCUUGCCAAACUGCUUGAGGGCACAUCUGUCAACUCCUGCGGCUAUUUCCGAGAGAUGAUCCGAAGCGACAUCCGAAGGGCUCGAGAAAGAUACAGCGGGGCUCAGCUGAGUCACGAACUGACCAGCAUUCAGCAACGCCUAGACAGUGUGGAAUGCCUCAGCCUUGACAUUGUCAUGAAUUUUCUCCUGGCCUAUCGCGAUGCACAGGAUUUUGAUGCCAUCAUCACUCUGGUGGAGACCUUGCAGGCCCUGCCCACUUGCGACAUUGCUGAGCAACAUAACAUCUGCUUCCACUAUGCCUUCGCUCUUGACAGGCGGAACCAGCCCGGCGACCGUGAGAAGGCGCUCUCUGUUCUUCUGCCACUGGUGGAAAGGCCUGAAGGAGUGGCGCCUGACCUGUGCUGCAUUUGCGGCCGCAUCUACAAAGACAUGUUCAUCGAUUCUGGCUUCACGGAUGCUGAGAAGCGGGACCAGGCUUUUUACUGGUACCACAAGGCCUUCUUAACGGAACCCAGCCUGCAUGCAGGGAUUAACUCUGUGGUCUUCCUCAUGGCUGCUGGGCACAAGUUUGAAACCUCCGUGCAGCUCCGGCAAAUAGGUAUGAAGCUGAGCUGUGUCCUUGGCCACAAGGGCUGCUUAGAGAAGAUGGAGCAUUAUUGGGAUGUUGGUUUUUAUCUGGGCGCAAGCAUUCUGGCUGCUGACAUGGACAAAAUCAUUCAGGCCUCAGAAAGACUUUACAAGCUCAACGCCCCUGUUUGGUAUCUGAAUUCCAUAAAAGAAACAUACACCAUAUACAGUCACUUCAAGACUGCUCCAGAUACAUGGUCGCCUAAACAGGAGCUGGUCGAUUUCUGGUUGGGGUUCUUGAUGGAGUCAUGCCAGACCUUUGUCUCCACUGAGCAAUGCCCGGUGCUGAUCUUAGAGCUGGCCAGAGUGCUGCAACCCUCCCAGCUCAGUGUCUGCAACACAGAGGACAAGAGGUCCGUGACGCUGAGCAACAUCUGCUCCCUGGAGGAGGAAGGGAUUUCGACCUGGACAUUUCCAGCAUCUUCCAUCCGUGGAGUCAGCAUCUCCAAAUGUGAUGAGAGGUGCUGCUUCCUGUAUGUAUUGCACACGGCUGAGGACUUCCAACUAUGUUUUCCCAAUCAGUAUCACUGCCGCUGGUUUUGUGAAUUGCUCCGUUCUUUCAUGUCAGAAGCCGGUGAGGAAGAUAACAGCUGCAGCUCCCCAGAGGAACUAGAAUACGAUUAUGAAUACACUGAAUCAGGCAACAGGGUGAUUCUGGGCAAGGGCACCUAUGGUGUAGUCUAUGCCGGGCGAGACCUCAGCAAUCAGGUGCGCAUCGCCAUCAAAGAGAUUCCGGAGCGGGACAGCAGGUACUCACAGCCCCUUCAUGAAGAGAUUGCUCUCCACAAGCGUCUGAAGCACAAGAACAUUGUCCGGUACCUGGGCUCCGUCAGCCAAAGUGGCUUCCUCAAGAUCUUCAUGGAAGAGGUACCUGGAGGCAGUCUUUCCUCUCUCUUGCGUUCUAUGUGGGGCCCUCUGAAGGACAACGAACCAACCAUCAUUUACUACACCAAACAGAUCCUAGAGGGACUGCGCUACCUGCAUGACAACCAGAUUGUCCAUAGAGACAUCAAGGGAGAUAACGUCUUGAUCAACACGUACAGCGGAGUGUUAAAAAUUUCUGACUUUGGCACCUCCAAGAGGUUGGCAGGGAUCAGCCCCAAGGCAGAGACCUUCACAGGUACCUUGCAGUACAUGGCUCCGGAAGUCAUCGAUCAGGGACCCCGAGGUUAUGGCAAACCAGCAGAUAUCUGGUCCCUGGGGUGUACCAUCAUAGAGAUGGCAACAGGGAAGCCCCCUUUCUUUGAGCUGGGCAGCCCACAGGCCGCCAUGUUCAAGGUAGGCAUGUUCAAGAUACACCCUGAAGUGCCCAGCUCCAUGUCGGUUGUGGCCAAGUCCUUUAUCCUGAGUUGUUUUGAAGCUGACCCAGACAAGCGCGCAACAGCUGCUGCAUUACUUCAGGAGUCUUUCUUGAAGGCGUCCAGUAGGAAGAAAUCGAAGAGCCCGAGCCCAACUGUGACAGAUGACCCAGCAGCGUCUGCCACACCUGAAAAGUUGACUUCGCUUGAGGGCGUUGUGGAGCUCAGCAGCCACUCCCUCUCCUCACAGGCGUCCCAGCCACAGACAGAGAAUAUUUUCUUAUCUCCGAAUUCCAGUGGGGUGAUCCAAAGUUCCACUCACUUACGGACUCCAGAGGAACUGGCCAAUUUUGACCUCAACCUGUCCUCUUCUUCCCAUGAGGAGAGUGGUUGUUUGUUCUUGCUGAAGAAGGACAGCGAGCGGAGAGCCACCCUCCACAAAGUCUUGACGGAGGAGCUAUCCAGCAUUGCCUCUGCAAUACAUGAGGCCCAGGAUCAGAGUCCCUUGUCGUUGGAGCACAUCUCGGAGUUGGUGUCCUGCCUCAAGAGCUACAUCCGCUCCCCCAAUCGCAAGCAGCUCGCCCAGGGCCUCCUGCAGCUCCAGCUCCACCUGCAAGCUGAUCAGCUCAGCCUGUGUCACCUGCAGGCUCCGCUCUUCACCUUCCAAGACACUGUGAAGCAGGCACUACGGAAGCUGCAGAUUAAGCCGCACUGGGUGUUUGCACUGGACAACCUCAUGGGGCAGGCGGUCCAAGCAGCUUUCACUGUUCUCUUGAAAGACCUCAAAGUGAAGCCAUUGCUCUCACUCGAGAAAGGCUGUGGACCGCCCAUCAAUGAGGAAGAGGAGGAAGAAGGGGCACUUUCGAUGCAGGACGAGCCACCUUCAUUCCAAAACCUCGGCAAAACUGUGAAGGGCAGCUCAGACACACCAAGCUCUGGAAUCGGCACCAGCAGCAAUGGCAGCUGGCUGGACUCCCAACACCCCCUGAAGAGCCGUGGGUCCCUCUUUGCCCAGCUGGGCCAUCUGCAGGCAGAGACACAAAGAUUGCAGUGGGAACUGAUGAAGAAGGAGCAUGAAUGCCAGAGACUCCUUCAAGAGGCAUUGCAGCGCAUGGAAAAGGAUGUCUGGGUUCUAAGAGAGGCCAAGCCAAUAGGAAUUUCUAGCUCUCGCUUACCUCAUCUCUUGAGGAGAGAAGAAGAGGCUGUAGACCUCCUGCUUGUUGAGUGGCUGGAGCAGCACGGGGUAGACAAAGACUCCAUCACAACGCUUAUGGACCACGGCUUCACUUUGCCCAUCUUGUUGAACUGUGCUACCAAAGACGACCUCCGGUAUACCUGCAUCAGAGGCGGAAUGGUGUGCUGCAUCUGGAGGGCCAUCACAGAACACCGGCAAAGCCACGCCCAGCAUUCCAGAGCAGAGUGAGAGGACAGGGCGGACAAUGUCUCGAGCCAUACAGGCCCCACUAUUGGUAGACUGUAUCCUUGCAAAGCUGCAAGGAAGCUCAACGGCAGAAAGCUCAAUCCCCAUCUUGCCUCAGUGAAAGGCGGCUGCUUAAAUCUCAUCUACUGUUCGGUGAGAAAAGUCUGCUCCAGCUUCCCCUGCCGGAAACAAGGCCUGAAGGAAACCUCGCCCGGAGUCCAUUUCUGCAGAUGAGGGAAAAGGGGGGUAUUCCUUCCCCAGGCCAGAAUUUGCAAGAGAGGCAGAGGGGUUCUGAGCUACGCUGCAAUGUUGCACCCAGGGCUGCUCUUAGCAGAGCAGCAAACACUCCCUGCUUGCUACAAGCUGUGGGUUAUGAGCCUCACUCGGCAGCAAAGGCCGCAGCUGAAAAACACGACUGUCAUCGGGAGAAAGAGAUGACCGAAACACUCGCGGGCCUAACCUGAAGAGCAGAAAGGAGGCCAGGAUGGCUGAAGGAGUGGACGAAGGGGUGUUCUACUGCAGACUAACCGGGGAGAGGAUUAAGUCCUAUGGCUCAAAUUGGUCCGCACAGGAAGGCCGGCUUCCACCCACUGGCCUGUCUUGUUGAACACCGUCUCCCAUACGUGGCGUUCUUCUUCGGUUGAAUCCAUCCAGGCCACUGGCAGUCCAUAGCUCUUGCCUACAUUAAAAAAAAAAGAUCUGUGAGACAUCAUGGGAUCAAUCAAGAGAUCCACUGACAGCGACCAGCCAUAUUUAGAACUUCCAUCGUUGGAAGCAGUCGGUUGCUGAAUACCAGUGCUAAGAGGUAGCAGCAAGGCAGGGCCUCGGCCUCUACAUCCUGUUUGUUGAACUUCCAGAGCAACUUGGUAUAUGUAACAAGGUGCUGGACUAGAUGCAUCACUGGUCUGAUCCAGCAGGGCUGUUCCUAAUCUUUUGGCAGUAGGAGACUCUGAUUUAUCUAGGACUGGCAGGGGCUACUAGAUACAAGACAUACUUGGCUGCCUCUUAUGCAUGUUGGCAUGAGUGUAGCCACAGGCUAAAAUUUUAUUUAUUAAAACAUUUAUACCCCA
This is an RNA transcript of Sphaerodactylus townsendi, 5320 nucleotides long. It is a transcript of the gene named mitogen-activated protein kinase kinase kinase 6, with no coding region annotated. The transcript has 30 exons. Lineage: Eukaryota; Metazoa; Chordata; Lepidosauria; Squamata; Sphaerodactylidae. The record is from RefSeq and is a predicted model, not a curated record.